This 477-nucleotide ribosomal RNA is filed under the name uncultured bacterium. RNAcentral describes it as "partial 16S ribosomal RNA". It matches the Rfam family "Bacterial small subunit ribosomal RNA", at positions 30 to 507 of the family's 1533-position model. The record is from RNAcentral.
AUUGAACGCUGGCGGCAUGCCUUACACAUGCAAGUCGAACGGUAACAGGUUAAGCUGACGAGUGGCGAACGGGCGAGUAAUGUAUCGGAACGUGCCCAGUCGUGGGGGAUAACUGCUCGAAAGAGCAGCUAAUACCGCAUACGACCUGAGGGUGAAAGCGGGGGAUCGCAAGACCUCGCGCGAUUGGAGCGGCCGAUAUCAGAUUAGGUAGUUGGUGAGGUAAAGGCUCACCAAGCCGACGAUCUGUAGCUGGUCUGAGAGGACGACCAGCCACACUGGGACUGAGACACGGCCCAGACUCCUACGGGAGGCAGCAGUGGGGAAUUUUGGACAAUGGGCGCAAGCCUGAUCCAGCCAUGCCGCGUGCGGGAAGAAGGCCUUCGGGUUGUAAACCGCUUUUGUCAGGGAAGAAAAGGUUCUGGCUAAUACCUGGGACUCAUGACGGUACCUGAAGAAUAAGCACCGGCUAACUACGUG